RNAcentral lists this small nuclear RNA (106 nucleotides) under Moschus moschiferus (Siberian musk deer). Lineage: Eukaryota; Metazoa; Chordata; Mammalia; Artiodactyla; Moschidae. The record is from RNAcentral.
GUGCUUGCUUCAGCAGCACGUAUAUUAAAAUUGGAAUGCUACGGAGAAGAUUAGCAUUGCCUUAGUGGAGGAUGAUUCGCAAAUUCAUAGGGCACUCCAUAUUCUU